AUGUGGUCUUCAACCUUUAGUUCACGCACAGGAACAAACUGGACACAGAACUACUACCAAUUACACAUCAAAUCAGGUGAUUUAGACCUCGAAUCACAUCAACUUGAACAUCAAAUCUGUCGCCCUAUUCGUCGUGAAUCCAUUCCAUUAGAGUGCACAACCUAUUGUUCACUAACCAAGGAGAUCAAAAAUGCAUUCACCAUGGCCGGACUAGAGCGUUCUGCUCUACGCUGGAGCAUCAGGGACUUGGGGCACGCUGCUGGGGUGGAACUCAGAGGAGAGGAGGCGGCGGGGCUAGUGACGGCGGUGCGGAACUCACAGCUACGUGCUAAUGCGGGCGGCGGCGGUGCGUAA
This 354-nucleotide ribosomal RNA is filed under the name Triticum aestivum (bread wheat). RNAcentral describes it as "partial small subunit ribosomal RNA". Lineage: Eukaryota; Viridiplantae; Streptophyta; Magnoliopsida; Poales; Poaceae. The record is from RNAcentral.